GAAAUGCGAUAAGUAAUGUGAAUUGCAGAUUUCAGUGAAUCAUCGAAUCUUUGAACGCACCUUGCGCUCCUUGGUAUUCCGAGGAGCAUGCCUGUUUGAGUGUCAUGGAAUUCUCAACUCUAUUUGCUUUUGUGAAUAGAGCUUGGAUUUGGAGGUUUAUUGCUGGUACUUGUGAUCGGCUCCUCUUGAAUGCAUUAGCUCGAACCUUUGCGGAUCAGCUAUCGGUGUGAUAAUUGUCUACGCCGUUGCAGUGAAGCAUAUCAAUGGGCUCGGCUUCCAAUCGUCCUUUACUGGACAAUGACUUUGACCUUUGACCUCAAAUCAGGUAGGAUUACCCGCUGAACUUAAGC
This 350-nucleotide unclassified non-coding RNA is filed under the name plant metagenome. RNAcentral describes it as "partial contains 5.8S ribosomal RNA, internal transcribed spacer 2, and large subunit ribosomal RNA". The stretch from base 1 to 105 matches the Rfam family "5.8S ribosomal RNA", at positions 50 to 154 of the family's 154-position model. The record is from RNAcentral.